Molecule: ribosomal RNA, 484 nt
Filed under: uncultured bacterium
Lineage: Bacteria
Description: partial 16S ribosomal RNA
Rfam family: Bacterial small subunit ribosomal RNA
Source: RNAcentral
AUUGAACGCUGGCGGCAGGCCUAACACAUGCAAGUCGAGCGGAUGAAGGGAGCUUGCUCCUGGAUUCAGCGGCGGACGGGUGAGUAAUGCCUAGGAAUCUGCCUGGUAGUGGGGGAUAACGUCCGGAAACGGGCGCUAAUACCGCAUACGUCCUGAGGGAGAAGGUGGGGGAUCUUCGGACCUCACGCUAUCAGAUGAGCCUAGGUCGGAUUAGCUAGUUGGUGGGGUAGAGGCCUACCAAGGCGACGAUCCGUAACUGGUCUGAGAGGAUGAUCAGUCACACUGGAACUGAGACACGGUCCAGACUCCUACGGGAGGCAGCAGUGGGGAAUAUUGGACAAUGGGCGAAAGCCUGAUCCAGCCAUGCCGCGUGUGUGAAGAAGGUCUUCGGAUUGUAAAGCACUUUAAGUUGGGAGGAAGGGCAGUAAGUUAAUACCUUGCUGUUUUGACGUUACCAACAGAAUAAGCACCGGCUAACUUCGUG